Molecule: ribosomal RNA, 314 nt
Filed under: Salmonella enterica
Lineage: Bacteria; Pseudomonadati; Pseudomonadota; Gammaproteobacteria; Enterobacterales; Enterobacteriaceae
Also listed under: 1 other name
Description: partial 23S ribosomal RNA
Rfam family: Bacterial large subunit ribosomal RNA
Source: RNAcentral
UACCCCGAGGAAAAGAAAUCAACCGAGAUUCCCCCAGUAGCGGCGAGCGAACGGGGAGGAGCCCAGAGCCUGAAUCAGCAUGUGUGUUAGUGGAAGCGUCUGGAAAGGCGCGCGAUACAGGGUGACAGCCCCGUACACAAAAGCGCAUGUGCUGUGAGCUCGAUGAGUAGGGCGGGACACGUGGUAUCCUGUCUGAAUAUGGGGGGACCAUCCUCCAAGGCUAAAUACUCCUGACUGACCGAUAGUGAACCAGUACCGUGAGGGAAAGGCGAAAAGAACCCCGGCGAGGGGAGUGAAAAAGAACCUGAAACCGU